UACAGAGGUCCCAAGCGUUGUUCGGAUUCACUGGGCGUAAAGGGUGCGUAGGUGGUCGGGUAAGUCUGAGGUGAAAUCUCCGAGCUUAACUCGGAAACUGCCUUGGAUACUAUUCGGCUCGAGGGUUGGAGGGGGGACUGGAAUUCUCGGUGUAGCAGUGAAAUGCGUAGAUAUCGAGAGGAACACCAGUGGCGAAGGCGAGUCCCUGGACAACUCCUGACGCUGAGGCACGAAAGCUAGGGGAGCAAACAGG
This 253-nucleotide ribosomal RNA is filed under the name uncultured bacterium. Its description in RNAcentral is "partial 16S ribosomal RNA". It matches the Rfam family "Bacterial small subunit ribosomal RNA", at positions 524 to 776 of the family's 1533-position model. The record is from RNAcentral.